Molecule: ribosomal RNA, 252 nt
Filed under: uncultured bacterium
Lineage: Bacteria
Description: partial 16S ribosomal RNA
Rfam family: Bacterial small subunit ribosomal RNA
Source: RNAcentral
ACGGAGGGUGCAAGCGUUAAUCGGAAUUACUGGGCGUAAAGAGUGCGUAGGUGGUUGAUUAAGUUAUGUGUGAAAUCCCUGGGCUUAACCUGGGCAGGUCAUAUAAUACUGAUUGACUCGAGUAUGGGAGAGGGUAGUGGAAUUUCCGGUGUAGCGGUGAAAUGCGUAGAGAUCGGAAGGAACACCAGUGGCGAAGGCGGCUACCUGGCCUAAUACUGACACUGAGGCACGAAAGCGUGGGGAGCAAACAGG